UACGAAGGGUGCAAGCGUUAAUCGGAAUUACUGGGCGUAAAGGGUGCGUAGGCGGGUCUUUAAGUCAGGGGUGAAAUCCUGGAGCUCAACUCCAGAACUGCCUUUGAUACUGAAGAUCUUGAGUUCGGGAGAGGUGAGUGGAACUGCGAGUGUAGAGGUGAAAUUCGUAGAUAUUCGCAAGAACACCAGUGGCGAAGGCGGCUCACUGGCCCGAUACUGACGCUGAGGCACGAAAGCGUGGGGAGCAAACAGG
Molecule: ribosomal RNA, 253 nt
Filed under: uncultured bacterium
Lineage: Bacteria
Description: partial 16S ribosomal RNA
Rfam family: Bacterial small subunit ribosomal RNA
Source: RNAcentral